AUUGAACGCUGGCGGCGUGCCUAACACAUGCAAGUCGAGCGGCAGCGCGGGAGCAAUCCUGGCGGCGAGCGGCGGACGGGUGAGUAACGCUUGGGAAUCUGCCUGUUAGUGGGGGACAACCCGGGGAAACUCGGGCUAAUACCGCAUACGCACUACGGUGGAAAGCCGGGGACCGCAAGGCCUGGCGCUAACAGAUGAGCCCAAGUCGGAUUAGCUAGUUGGUAGGUAACGGCCUACCAAGGCGACGAUCCGUAACUGGUCUGAGAGGACGACCAGUCACACCGGAACUGAGACACGGUCCGGACUCCUACGGGAGGCAGCAGUGGGGAAUAUUGGACAAUGGGGAAACCCUGAUCCAGCGACGCCGCGUGGGUGAAGAAGGCCUGCGGGUUGUAAAGCCCUUUCAGUGGGAAGAAAAG
RNAcentral lists this ribosomal RNA (419 nucleotides) under uncultured bacterium. RNAcentral's name for it is "bacterial SSU rRNA". It matches the Rfam family "Bacterial small subunit ribosomal RNA", at positions 29 to 451 of the family's 1533-position model. The record is from RNAcentral.